AGACAAUUUACAGAGCAAAGAUGUUCAUUUACCUUAACUUUCUAAUCCUUGGGUAUAUCUGCAAUACCUAAUCUGAGUUACACCAAAAGACAAUGCACGAGAAACAAACAGUAACCUUGAAGUGUAAUCACCCUGUGGGAAGUUGCGUAACAUGGAGCAGAGAAAUAGAUUAUCAACCAGGUCCUGAAGCCAGAUGUGGUGUUCAUGGGGGCCAUGGUGGGCACGGAGACCCUGUACAAGCUGCGCUGCUCCCUGCAGCUGACUGAGCUCGAGCGGGAAGGGGGUCCCCCACGUGUCCCCUUACAUGGCCGUCACAGCCCUGGGCAACCUGCUGGGCCAGGCAGGCAGGCUUCAGUAUGCUGACGGACAUUGAUGAAAUUCAAGUGCACUAUCCUGGGAUACUAGAGGUCAUGAGUGACCUGCAAGGGAGAGCAACUGCACUUGGAACAAGAAGUCCAUGUUGAACAGAGACACCAUUUUAGCUGCAGCUGCAAUCUACCAAGGGAGGAGACCAAUAAUCAGAUGGUCACUCUGACAGAGCUCCAGAGUUCCUCUGUGGAGAUGGGAGAACGUUCCAGAAGGACAACCAUCUCUGCAGCACUCCACCAAUUAGGCCUUUAUGGUAGAGUGGCCAGACGGAAGCCACUCCUCAGUAAAAGGCACAUGACAGCCUGCUUGGAGUUUUCCAAAAGCCACCUAAAGGACUCUGACCAUGAGAAACAAGCUUUUCUGGUCUGAUGAAACCAAGAUUGAACUCUUUGGCCUGAAUGUCAAGCGUCACUUCUGGAGGAAACCUGGCACCAUUCGUACGGUGAAGCAUGGUGGUGGCAGCAUCAUGCUGUGGGGAUGUUUUCAGCGGUAGGGACUGGGAUACUAGUCAGGAUCAAGGAAAGAUGAACGAAGCAAAGAACAGAGAGAUCCUUGUACACCUGCUCCAGAGUGCUCAGGAACUCAGACUGGGGCGAAGGUUCACCUUCCAACAGGACAACGGCCCUAAGCACACAGCCAAGACAACACAGGAGUAGCUUCGGGACAAGUCUCUGAAUGUCAAAAUACAGAGGUGCCAAGCUUGUAGCGUCAUACCUAAGAAGACUCGAGGUUGUAGUUCCUGCCAAAAGGUGCUUCAACAAAGUACAGAGUAAAGGGUCUGAAUUACUUAUGUAAGUGUGAUCAGUUUUUUUUUUUUUAAAAAAAAUACAUUUGCAAAUAAUGUUUAAAAACCUGUUUUUGCUUUUUCUUAUCGGGUAUUGUGUGUAGAUUGAUGAGGGGAAAAAACAAUUUAAUACAUUUUAGAAUAAGGCUGUAACGUGACAAAAUGUGGAAAAAGUCAAGGGGCCUGAAUACUUUCCGAAUGCACUGUAAUUCUAGGGGUUCCUAUUCAUGCACAAAUUGCACAUCGUCCCCCUGCGUUCAUGCCUUGAUAUAGUUUUUACUUCUUGUAUAACUGCAUUGCAAUAAUAUAUCAUUUCCAUUUAAGUUUGGACAGUGGACUCUUUAUUUCAUAGCUGGAUUCACACAUCUGAAUUUGUGGUCACUGACAAAAUGCCAGUUGUAUUUUAUCAUUACAUUGUUUUCAUAUCCUGUACUAAAUGUAAACUUGAUUUUUAUAAUGGAUAAAUAAAGUAUGUUUUGUAUAUUUCUUUUAAACAUUUAGAUUUGAAAGGGGAGGUGCUUUACAAGCCUCUUGUUUUUUAUGUCUCCUGCACAUGUGCAUUUAUUUAGUCUUUAAUUAUCAUAAUUUUGUCUUUUUCUUGUUUAAAUAAACAUUUAAUAAUGUAACGAAUGUACUUAACAUGGAAAAUAUGCUGUGGUCAAUCUUGAGAAAUAACCAUUAAAACACG
Oncorhynchus masou masou (cherry salmon) is the source of this 1841-nucleotide long non-coding RNA. RefSeq lists it as uncharacterized. The record is from RefSeq and is a predicted model, not a curated record. Lineage: Eukaryota; Metazoa; Chordata; Actinopteri; Salmoniformes; Salmonidae. The transcript has 6 exons.